GCGGCCGCUCCUCCUCCUCCCGCAGCCGCCAUCCAGCGAGCCGCGGCGGCGGUACCGAGCGGUUAUAAGUGUCAUUCAGACACCAGUCUUCUGAGAUGGGAAAGACCAAUGAUGAAAAGACCAGUGAUGUUUCUUCACUCCUUUCAGAAGAUAUUAACUCCAAGUUCUUUCCUGUCUUGCAAGAGUUUGGGCGUUGCAGAGAACAACAGUAUGUUGAACUUUGAAGGAUGAAGAACAUUUCCUAUUGCCUGUAUUCUUGGGGAUGCGUUGCUUGGAACCACCACAGCUGUAUCAGACCUCCAUUGGAAGAUACUGCUGAAAUACUGAAGUUUGAGCAGAGUGGAUUUGAACCAAACACUGGGAAAGGAUCAGAAUGAGAGACUUAGCAGUGAUUCUGUUUCUCUUAUUGCUGGAGGUCUUGUCCAACUGAGUAGACUUUGUAUAGAGGUCUUAUGAGAAGGGGCUAGUAUACACGAGUCCUUUCUAGACCUACAUAUAACUAGUGCAUUAUUAAGAAGAUGCUCAUAUUGGAGACAGACUAAGCCUUCAGUUCUUUAAAACAGUUUCACAGUGAAAUAGGCACUAUCAGGGAACUGCAUCAUUUCCUUCCCCUCCCCUAAAUACCUGUCUUCAGUAUAGACGUUCAGGAUUCAUCUUCCUUUUAAAUCUUUUGUAGUUUCACUCUAUUGACAUGUGAAAACAGUUAAAUCCAGGAGGCCUUCGUUGUGGUGGGAUAAUUCCUCUGAAAACUGUGUUGUCUGUAAGAAGAACUUGGCCUUUGUCAUUUCUAUGUGCAGUUCUUUCUUCCCUCUGUGUCCUGCUAAUACACAAAUGAUCUUAUGAUCAGUGUCUCAGGCUGGGAGGCAGAUACAGUUUUAAGUGUAUGUCCAUAGAAUAGGGUUAAAAUUACUAAAGUUA
RNAcentral lists this long non-coding RNA (918 nucleotides) under Gallus gallus (chicken). RNAcentral's name for it is "lncRNA (ENSGALG00010014782.1)". The record is from RNAcentral. Lineage: Eukaryota; Metazoa; Chordata; Aves; Galliformes; Phasianidae.